CUCUCCCCCUCUCCCUCUCCUCUCCCUCUCCUCUCUCUCUCUCUCUCUCUCUCUCUCUCUCUCUCUCUCUCUCUCUUCUCUCUCCUCUCUCUCUCUUUCACAGAGUCUCGCUCUGUUGCCCAGGCUGGAGUGCAAUGGUGAGAUCUCAGCUCACUGCAACCCUCACCUCCCAGAUUCAGGAGAUUCUUGUGCCUCAGCCUCCUGAGUAGCUGGAAUUACAGGCAUGCACCACCACCACGCCCAGCUAAAUUUUUGUAUUUUUAGUAAGAGUCGGGGUUUCAACAUGUUGCCCGGGCUGGUCCCAAACUCCUGAGCUCAGGCAAUCAGCCUGCCUAGGCCUCCCAAAGUGCUAGGAUUACAGUGGGCGCACCAACACAUCCAAUCCUGUCCUAAGUUCAAC
This 400-nucleotide long non-coding RNA is filed under the name Homo sapiens (human). RNAcentral's name for it is "HSALNT0173198". Lineage: Eukaryota; Metazoa; Chordata; Mammalia; Primates; Hominidae. The record is from RNAcentral.